This 254-nucleotide ribosomal RNA is filed under the name uncultured microorganism. RNAcentral's name for it is "partial small subunit ribosomal RNA". It matches the Rfam family "Bacterial small subunit ribosomal RNA", at positions 524 to 776 of the family's 1533-position model. The record is from RNAcentral.
UACGUAGGGGGCGAGCGUUGUCCGGAUUUACUGGGCGUAAAACGCUUGUAGGUGGCCACGCCAAGUCGGAUGUGAAAUCUCCUGGCUUAACUGGGAGGGGUCAUUCGAUACUGGCGGGCUCGAGGCAGGUAGGGGGAAGCGGAAUUCCCGGUGUAGUGGUGGAAUGCGUAGAUAUCGGGAGGAACACCAGUGGCGAAGGCGGCUUCCUGGACCUGUUCUGACACUGAGGAGCGAAAGCGUGGGGAGCGAUCCGG